UACAGAGAGUGCAAGCGGUAAUCGGAAUUACUGGGCGUAAAGCGCACGUAGGUGGAAUUUUAAGUCGGAUGUGAAAUCCCCGAGCUUAACUUGGGAAUUGCAUUCGAUACUGACUUUCUUGAAUAUGGUAGAGGGAAGUGGAAUUUCUGGUGUAGCGGUGAAAUGCGUAGAUAUCAGAAGGAACAUCAGUGGCGAAAGCGGCUUCCUGGACCAAUAUUGACACUUAGGUGCGAAAGCGUGGGGAGCAAACAGG
Molecule: ribosomal RNA, 253 nt
Filed under: uncultured bacterium
Lineage: Bacteria
Description: partial 16S ribosomal RNA
Rfam family: Bacterial small subunit ribosomal RNA
Source: RNAcentral